RNAcentral lists this ribosomal RNA (468 nucleotides) under uncultured bacterium. RNAcentral's name for it is "partial 16S ribosomal RNA". It matches the Rfam family "Bacterial small subunit ribosomal RNA", at positions 28 to 507 of the family's 1533-position model. The record is from RNAcentral.
GACGAACGCUGGCGGCGUGCUUAACACAUGCAAGUCGAACGGAAAGGCCCUGCUUUUGUGGGGUGCUCGAGUGGCGAACGGGUGAGUAACACGUGAGUAACCUGCCCUUGACUUUCGGAUAACUUCAGGAAACUGGGGCUAAUACCGGAUAGGAGCUCCUGCUGCAUGGGGGGGGUUGGAAAGUUUCGGCGGUUGGGGCUGGACUCGCGGCUUAUCAGCUUGUUUGUGGGGUAGUUGCUUACCAAGGCUUUGACGGGUAGCCGGCAUGAGAGGGGGACCGGGCACAUUGGGACUGCGAUACGGCCCAGACUCCUACGGGAGGCAGCAGUGGGGAAUAUUACACAAUGGGCGGACGCCUGAUACAGCAACGCCGCGUGCGUGAUGACGGCCUUCGGGUUGUAAACCGCUUUCGCCUGUGACGAAGCGUGAGUGACGGUAAUGGGUAAAGAAGCACCGGCUAACUACGUG